This 252-nucleotide ribosomal RNA is filed under the name uncultured bacterium. RNAcentral describes it as "partial 16S ribosomal RNA". It matches the Rfam family "Bacterial small subunit ribosomal RNA", at positions 524 to 776 of the family's 1533-position model. The record is from RNAcentral.
UACGGAGGAUGCGAGCGUUAUCCGGAUUUAUUGGGUUUAAAGGGUGCGUAGGCGGGCUGUUAAGUCAGCGGUAAAAGCCCGGGGCUCAACCCCGGCGAGCCGUUGAAACUGGCUGUCUUGAGAUGUCGAGAGGUAUGCGGAAUGCGCAGUGUAGCGGUGAAAUGCUUAGAUAUUGCGCAGAACUCCGAUUGCGAAGGCAGCAUACCGGCGGCGAUCUGACGCUGAGGCACGAAAGCGUGGGUAGCAAACAGG